RNAcentral lists this ribosomal RNA (254 nucleotides) under uncultured bacterium. Its description in RNAcentral is "partial small subunit ribosomal RNA". It matches the Rfam family "Bacterial small subunit ribosomal RNA", at positions 26 to 285 of the family's 1533-position model. The record is from RNAcentral.
AGGACGAACGCUGGCGGCGUGCUUAACACAUGCAAGUCGAGCGGAAAGGUCCUUCGGGGUACUCGAGCGGCGAACGGGUGAGUAACACGUGAGUAAUCUGCCCCUAGCUCUGGGAUAGCUCCGGGAAACCGGGAUUAAUACCAGAUACGACCACUUUAGACAUCUGUUGUGGUGGAAAGAAUUUCGGCUAGGGAUGAGCUCGCGGCCUAUCAGCUUGUUGGUGAGGUAACGGCUCACCAAGGCGACGACGGGUA